This 464-nucleotide ribosomal RNA is filed under the name Starmerella bacillaris. RNAcentral's name for it is "eukaryotic LSU rRNA". The stretch from base 155 to 303 matches the Rfam family "5.8S ribosomal RNA". Lineage: Eukaryota; Fungi; Ascomycota; Dipodascomycetes; Dipodascales; Trichomonascaceae. The record is from RNAcentral.
UUCCGUAGGUGAACCUGCGGAAGGAUCAUUUCUGAAGGCUUUUUGCCAAAACCACUGUGAACAGCUUAGACUUCGGUCUUUGCAAUUGCUUGGGUGUCGAAAGGCGCCCAAUCUUUAAAACUUUUAUAUUUGUUCUGAAACAAUGAAAAUUUAAAACUUUCAACAACGGAUCUCUUGGUUCUCGUAUCGAUGAAGAACGCAGCAAAGCGCGAUAGGUAAUGCGAAUUGCAGACGUGAGUCAUUGAAUUUUUGAACGCAUAUUGCGCUAUUAGUUUGUCUAAUAGCAUGCUUGUUGGAGUGAUAAUCUUCCUCUCAACCAUUUUUGGUAUGAGGUCUUGCUCCUUUUAGGAGUUAAAAUCAUGGAAGUGCACACGUUAAUUAACUCUGUGCAGUUAUACACUUUUCAUCCUCCAAUCAAGCAAGGUUACCCGCCUGAACUUAAGCAUAUCAAUAAGCGGAGGAAA